GGGCUGGCUUUAGCCCAGCGGUUCCUUUGAGUCUGGCUUCCCAACCGCCCGGGCCGACUGGUCCAGUGGUUCGAGAGCGGCCGGUCGCUCCUCCAGUCCUUUU
Unclassified non-coding RNA from Cavia porcellus (domestic guinea pig), 103 nucleotides. Its record names the gene Vault. It matches the Rfam family "Vault RNA". From Rfam's summary of the family: This family of RNAs are found as part of the enigmatic vault ribonucleoprotein complex. The complex consists of a major vault protein (MVP), two minor vault proteins (VPARP and TEP1), and several small untranslated RNA molecules. The record is from Ensembl. Lineage: Eukaryota; Metazoa; Chordata; Mammalia; Rodentia; Caviidae.